Molecule: long non-coding RNA, 228 nt
Filed under: Nicotiana benthamiana
Lineage: Eukaryota; Viridiplantae; Streptophyta; Magnoliopsida; Solanales; Solanaceae
Description: long non-coding RNA (NBEN_LNC000828)
Source: RNAcentral
GGGGGGCAACAGUGAGGAGAUCAGUCAUCCACUAGUAUUCUCUUGCUCUUCACAUGAAGAGACUAUAUACAAAAUAACAAGGAAUAAUAAAUUAUCUCCUUUGGGGUCAAAGUUUACACAUCUGAUAGUGAUAGUAAAAGAGCCCCCUGUUGUUUGCCUUAGUGGUAGAUGCUCUAACCCGACAUAUCCAAGGGGAGGUGCCUUGGUGUAUGCUUUUUGCUGAUGAUA